UACGGAGGAUGCAAGCGUUAUCCGGAAUGAUUGGGCGUAAAGCGUCCGCAGGAGGCUGUGUAAGUCUGCUGUCAAAGAGCGAAGCUCAACUUCGUAAAGGCAGUGGAAACUACACGGCUAGAGUGCGUUCGGGGCAGAGGGAAUUCCUGGUGUAGCGGUGAAAUGCGUAGAGAUCAGGAAGAACACCGGUGGCGAAGGCGCUCUGCUAGGCCGCAACUGACACUGAGGGACGAAAGCUAGGGGAGCGAAUGGG
This 253-nucleotide ribosomal RNA is filed under the name uncultured bacterium. RNAcentral describes it as "partial 16S ribosomal RNA". It matches the Rfam family "Bacterial small subunit ribosomal RNA", at positions 524 to 776 of the family's 1533-position model. The record is from RNAcentral.